UGGGGAAUAUUGCACAAUGGGCGCAAGCCUGAUGCAGCGACGCCGCGUGAGGGAUGACGGCCUUCGGGUUGUAAACCUCUUUCAAAUAGGGACGAANCGCAAGUGGCGGUACCUAUAGAAGAAGGACCGGCCAACUACGUGCCAGCAGCCGCGGUAAUACGUAGGGUCCGAGCGUUGUCCGGAAAUUUACUGGGCGUAAAGAGCUCGUAGGUGGUUUGUCGCGUUGUUCGUGAAAACUCACAGCUUAACUGUGGGCGUGCGGGCGAAUACGGGCAGACUAGAGUACUGCAGGGGAGACUGGAAUUCCUGGUGUAGCGGUGGAAUGCGCAGAUAUCAGGAGGAACACCGGUGGCGAAGGCGGGUCUCUGGGCAGUAACUGACGCUGAGGAGCGAAAGCGUGGGGAGCGAACAGGAUUAGAUACCCUGGUAGUCCACGCCGUAAACGGUGGGUACUAGGUGUGGGUUUCCUUCCUUGGGAUCCGUGCCGUAGCUAACGCAUUAAGUACCCCGCCUGGGGAGUACGGCCGCAAGGCU
This 534-nucleotide ribosomal RNA is filed under the name uncultured bacterium. RNAcentral's name for it is "partial 16S ribosomal RNA". It matches the Rfam family "Bacterial small subunit ribosomal RNA", at positions 355 to 895 of the family's 1533-position model. The record is from RNAcentral.